UGGGGAAUUUUGCGCAAUGGGGGAAACCCUGACGCAGCAACGCCGCGUGAGUGAUGAAGGCCUUCGGGUCGUAAAGCUCUGUCAGAGGGGAAGAAAUGCAGGGGUGCUAAUAUCAUCUUUGCUUGACGGUACCCUCAAAGGAAGCACCGGCUAACUUCGUGCCAGCAGCCGCGGUAAUACGGAGGGUGCGAGCGUUGUUCGGAAUUAUUGGGCGUAAAGCGCGUGUAGGCGGUUUGAUAAGUCUGAUGUGAAAGCCCCGGGCUCAACCUGGGAGGUGCAUUGGAAACUGUCAGACUUGAAUACGGGAGAGGGUAGUGGAAUUCCUAGUGUAGGAGUGAAAUCCGUAGAUAUUAGGAGGAACACCGGUGGCGAAGGCGGCUACCUGGACCGAUAUUGACGCUGAGACGCGAAAGCGUGGGGAGCAAACAG
RNAcentral lists this ribosomal RNA (429 nucleotides) under uncultured bacterium. RNAcentral's name for it is "bacterial SSU rRNA". It matches the Rfam family "Bacterial small subunit ribosomal RNA", at positions 355 to 775 of the family's 1533-position model. The record is from RNAcentral.